UACGUAGGGGGCAAGCGUUGUCCGGAUUUAUUGGGCGUAAAGAGCUCGUAGGCGGCCUGUUACGUCUGCUGUGAAAUCCCGGGGCUUAACCCCGGGCGUGCAGUGGAUACGGGCAGGCUGGAGGCAGGCAGGGGAGAACGGAAUUCCCGGUGUGAGCGGUGAAAUGCGCAGAUAGUCGGGAGGAACACCGGUGGCGAAGGCGGUUCUCUGGGCCUGUACUGACGCUGAGGAGCGAAAGCGUGGGGAGCGAACAGG
RNAcentral lists this ribosomal RNA (255 nucleotides) under uncultured bacterium. Its description in RNAcentral is "partial 16S ribosomal RNA". It matches the Rfam family "Bacterial small subunit ribosomal RNA", at positions 524 to 776 of the family's 1533-position model. The record is from RNAcentral.